ACAUAAAAAUUUUCUAUUCUCAUAUUUAAUUUACUUGCUUUAUGCUUGCUUUGCUUAUUUCUUAAUGAUAUUAAUGAAAUUCAAAAAACAUAAUUAUCUACUACAUCUCACCCCGACAUAAAAGCAAGGAUAGGAUGGAGGGUUGGGAAAUAUACUUUACCAUAUUUAUUUCUUCCUACCACACCUCAAUAUUAUAUAUAUACAUAAAAAAAAAUAUGUAUA
This 222-nucleotide long non-coding RNA is filed under the name Carica papaya (papaya). RNAcentral's name for it is "long non-coding RNA (CPAP_LNC011940)". The record is from RNAcentral. Lineage: Eukaryota; Viridiplantae; Streptophyta; Magnoliopsida; Brassicales; Caricaceae.